This is a long non-coding RNA of Neofelis nebulosa (Clouded leopard), 2608 nucleotides long. RefSeq lists it as uncharacterized. The record is from RefSeq and is a predicted model, not a curated record. NCBI's taxonomy places the organism in Eukaryota, Metazoa, Chordata, Mammalia, Carnivora, Felidae. The transcript is spliced from 3 exons.
GCACGCUUCCUCGGUGGGCCGGGCGAAUCUUGGUACUACUGGCCGGAGGGGGAGGCCGUGUGGGGAGCGGGCGGGCUGCGGGGCUGGGGCGGCCUCGGUGUCCGCGCGGGCCCCGCGGUGUCCCCGGUGCGCGUUCUGCGGGUCAGGGCAGCGUGUGGGGCCAGUGGGGUCUGGGGCGGCGGGGCAGAGCGGGCCGGUCAGGCAGGAUCGGAGCAGGGGACUCCGGGGAUGGGUGACUGGGCCUGCGCGGAGGGCGCUGGAGGGAGCGGGGCUGAGAGCGGCUGGGGGCCGACGCCUGCUGAAGGGGCCGUGGGGCUCGGUGACGGGUAGUGAGAUUCCGGUUUCCAUGAAGUAAUUGGCUUAUUUGAGAUAAAGAAGUCCCAGAGGUGAAUCCUUGGUGAAGAGAGUCCUGACCAGAGGAGUUAAGAAGGAUAGAGCAGAGCCUAAAGUUACUGGCCAUUUCCCAAGUGUGGCAGAAAAUGACUAAGUCCCAGAGAGAGAGAGCGUGUGUGCAAACCUAUGAGCAGGGGAAGGGCAGAAAAAGAGGGGGACAGAGGAUCUGAAAUGGGCUCCAUGCUGACAGCAGAGAGCCUGACGCAGGGCUUGAACCCACGACUUGAGAGAUCAUGACCUGAGUGGAAUUGGACACUUAACCGACUCAGCCACCUGGCCGCCAGGUGAAGCUUUGUUAUUAAAUGUUUGCACAUUUAGGGUUAUUAUGUUUUCUUGAUGAAUUGACCCUUCUGUUGUUAUGAAAUGUCCUUUUUUAUCUUUUAUAUAAGCAAUACCCCUUAUCUUGAAGCUUACUUUGUUUAAUAUUAAUGUAGCUACACUAGUUUCCAUAUGAACGUCUGAGUGCUAUUACCCUUUCCUGUAUUUUACGUCUAACUUAUUUGUACCUCUGUAAUUGUGUCUUGAGCACCUGGGUGGCUCAGUCGAUUAAGUCACUGACUUUGGCUCAGAUCACGAUCUCACGGUUCGUGGAUUCGAGCCCCGCGUCGGGCUCUGUGCUGACAGCUGAGCCUGGAGCCUGCUUCAGAUUCUGUGUCUCCCUCUCUCUGCCCUUCCCCUGCUCACACUCUGUCUCUCUCUGUCUCUCAAAAUUAAAUAAAUUUUAAAAAAAUCAUCAUUAAGUGUGUCUUUGUAAGUAUCCUAUAGGUAGGUCUUACUUUUUCCAGUCUGAUAAUCUCUCUUUUCUGUGGAAUGUUUAUUUAGUCCGUUAACAUUUUAAGUAAUUAUUGACAUAUUUGGGUUGCAGUCUAGCAUCUUGCUAUUUGUUUUCUAUUUGUACUAUUUGUUCUUUGUUUCUUUUCCCUGCCUUCUUUUGGAGCGUUUGUGUGGUGGUCCCUGUUCUCCGGCGUUGGAGAACAUGUGCUUCUGCGCGACUCUGCCCUCCUGCUUUCCACAGCCUGAGUCCCCAGGCACAGGAACGAAGCACUUUCUUCUGGGCUUCCUCCCUCCUUCUUCUCACCAUGCGAUGGGCCCACCCUCCUUGACGAGGCCUUCGGUGUUGGUGGACACAUGCUGUGCUGUCUCCAUGCAGCCACCCUUUGAAAGUGUUGUUUUGGGUUUUUUUUCCUGAAAAACAUGCUAGAUUUUUUUGUUUGUUUGAACAUUUUGGACAUUCCAUUAUACGUUGGCUUGCAUUGUUUCUGGUGAGAGGUCAGUUGUCCCAUCCCUCUUAUGUUGAUCCCUGGAAUGUACUGUGUCUUACCCUCUGGCUGAUUUUAAGAUUUUAUUUUUAGUUUUGAGCGAUUUGGCUCUGAUGAGCCUCGGUCUGGUUUUCUUUAUAUGUAUCCUGAUUGGGAUACUUUGAGUUUCUUGUGUCUGUGGAAUGUUUUUCUUCACAUUUGGAACAUUUCCAGCCAUUAUUUACUCAAAUAUUUUUUUCUGUCCUAUUUUCUUUCUUCUGACCCUCCAAUUAUGGUGUAUAAGAUGUUUUUAUAUUGUCCUACAGGUCACUGACACUUGAUACAUUGUUUCCAGUACUUUAUACUGUGUAUGUUGUUUUUUUUUUAACUUUAUUUUAUUUAGUUUGAGACAGAGAGAGCAAGUGUAGGGGAAGGGCAGAGAGAGGGAGAGGGAAUCCCAAGCAGGCUCCAUACUGUCAGCACAGAGCCCAAUGCGGGGCUCGAUCUCAUGAACUGUGACAUCAUGACCUGAGCCGAAAUCAAGAGUCAGGCGCUUAACCGAAUGAGCCACCCAGGUGCCCCUGUAUGGUUUUUAUUAAUCGAUUUUCAAGUUCAUGAAUCUUUUCCUUCAUAACAUCAGAUCUGCUGUUAAGUCCAUUUGAUAAGUACUUAAUAUCAGCUGUUCAGUCUAGAGUUUCUAUUUGGUUCUUUUUUAAAAAAUUAAUUUCCUUUUCUCUCCUGAAAGAUUCCAUCCCUUCACUUAUCAUAUCCAUGUUUCCUCUAAGUUAUUCAACAUAUUUAGUAUUGUUAUUUUAGAGUCUGUCUCUUAAUUCACAUAACUUAGGCAUCUGUAGUUCUCCUUCUGUUGGCUGGUUUUACUUUCUGUGGCCGUAGUUCUUGGUCACAUUUUUAUACUUCUUUGUAUAUAUAUUUUACUGCAUUCUAGAUGUUGUAAAUAAAAAAUGGUGGAAACUGAA